AUUCUACAGAUCUGCCAUACAACAUUGUGCUUAUGGUUAACAGUGUUACAGUGUGCACUUAAAUAUUUAUUAACAGGGUAGAUCUAUAGUUAAGUGUUCUUACCACAAUAAAAAAAGACUAAUGUAUUAAAAAGAAUUGUUAGUUUAUGUUUUUGUAUAUAUUAUGCAUAAAGAUGUAAUUCUUUGACACCAACAACUGAAAAAGGUGGGGACUGAGCUGUAAAGGAGCAGAGUUUUUGUGUGUUAUUGAAGUUAAGCUGUAUAAAUUCAAAUCAGAGUAUUAUAACUUUAGAAUGUUAAAUGUAAUCUCCAUGGUAACCACAGAGAAAGUAGCUAUAGAAUAUUUACAAAAGGAAAUGAGUAAGAAAUGUAAAUGCUUCACUGUAAAAAAAAAACAGCAACUAAAUACAUAUGAAGAAAGUAAUGCAGGAAAUAAAGGACAAAAAGAAGCUAUAAGCUAUCUUUCCUUCCUUAUAUUAUUAGCGGAUGAUUUAAGCCUACAGCCACGUUGAGACAUGGUGGCUCAGCAGAGCUGUCUGGGGAAAAAUGCACGUGAUUGCCAACUUUUGCAGAGUUGAGAGACUGGAAAGAGUCCUCGCCAGCUGAUGCACUUGGAGGAAGUGGAGUGUGUCGUGAUAUCAUUCAGUCUGCAUCAUUGACUCUGCAGUCUCUGCUGCCCUUAUAACUUAAUGUUCUGGGCAGUCCAGGUUCCCAUUUAUCAGCAAGGAUGAUAAACUGCUAAUGACUGCUGGCCUCUCCCUAUUCUUAAGUUAUCUGCUCACACAAAGCCACAGAUUCAUUCAAUUUGGAAAAUGUUAAUAAGAUGCCAAAAAUGUGUUCAGGAAGAUGAAAGAAAAAGCUUUUCAAAUGGCUUGUAUCAUUAUUUCCAAAAUUGAAUUCCAACUGUCCCUGUUUGCGCAGGUGAAUUAAAAGACUAUCAAAACCUUAAAUGUUUCUAUUAACUAAUUAAACAGUGUCUGAAUAGAGACGUGGUAAAGAUGAAAGGUGUUCAUGGUUCAUGCUCUAUCAAAUGAACUUCCAUGACAAAAGAUAAUGAACACUUGCUCCCCCCAUCUAGAAAAUCAGUUCUACAACUUUGAUUCCAUUAUUUGAAUAAU
This 1118-nucleotide long non-coding RNA is filed under the name Callithrix jacchus (white-tufted-ear marmoset). Its description in RNAcentral is "lncRNA (ENSCJAG00000051788.2)". Lineage: Eukaryota; Metazoa; Chordata; Mammalia; Primates; Cebidae. The record is from RNAcentral.